UUUCCGUAGGUGAACCUGCGGAAGGAUCAUUAUUGUAUAACCGAGGUGCGAGGGCUGUCGCUGACCCGGAAGUUCGUGCACGCCCGAGUGCCCUCACACACAUCCAUCUCACCCCUAUGUGCACCACCGCGUGGGUCCCCCUUUGGCUUGUUCGGAGGGGGGCUUACGUUUUCACACAAACUUUGUAUGCAGUGUAGAAUGUAUUUUUUGUUUUUGCGAUCACGCAAUCAAUACAACUUUCAACAACGGAUCUCUUGGCUCUC
RNAcentral lists this unclassified non-coding RNA (263 nucleotides) under plant metagenome. Its description in RNAcentral is "partial contains small subunit ribosomal RNA, internal transcribed spacer 1, and 5.8S ribosomal RNA". The record is from RNAcentral.